Molecule: ribosomal RNA, 474 nt
Filed under: uncultured bacterium
Lineage: Bacteria
Description: partial 16S ribosomal RNA
Rfam family: Bacterial small subunit ribosomal RNA
Source: RNAcentral
GACGAACGCUGGCGGCGCGCUUAACACAUGCAAGUCGAGCGGUAAGGCCCCUUCGGGAGUCCACGAGCGGCGAACGGGUGAGUAACACGUGAGUAAUCUGCCCUUCACUUCGGGAUAACCACCGGAAACGGUGGCUAAUACCGAAUACGACCAGUCUUCGCAUGAGGUGCUGGUGGAAAGUCUUUUCGGUGAAGGAUGUGCUCGCGGCCUAUCAGCUUGUUGGUGGGGUAAUGGCCUACCAAGGCUUCGACGGGUAGCCGGCCUGAGAGGGUGACCGGCCACACUGGGACUGAGACACGGCCCAGACUCCUACGGGAGGCAGCAGUGGGGAAUAUUGGACAAUGGGCGAAAGCCUGAUCCAGCAACGCCGCGUGAGGGAUGACGGCCUUCGGGUUGUAAACCUCUUUCAGUACCGACGAAGCGCCCUGUCGGGUGGUGACGGUAGGUACAGAAGAAGGACCGGCCAACUACGUG